This 444-nucleotide ribosomal RNA is filed under the name uncultured bacterium. RNAcentral's name for it is "SSU rRNA". It matches the Rfam family "Bacterial small subunit ribosomal RNA", at positions 26 to 518 of the family's 1533-position model. The record is from RNAcentral.
AGAACGAACGCUGGCGGCAGGCUUAACACAUGCAAGUCGAGCGCCCAGCAAGGGGAGCGGCAGACGGGUGAGUAACGCGUGGGAACAUACCCUCCGGUUCGGAAUAGCUCAGGGAAACUUGGAUUAAUACCGGAUACGGCCUAGCGGCGAAAGAUUCAUCGCCGGAGGAUUGGCCCGCGUUCGAUUAGCUAGUUGGUGAGGUAACGGCUCACCAAGGCGACGAUCGAUAGCUGGUCUGAGAGGAUGAUCAGCCACAUUGGGACUGAGACACGGCCCAAACUCCUACGGGAGGCAGCAGUGGGGAAUAUUGGACAAUGGGCGCAAGCCUGAUCCAGCCAUGCCGCGUGAGUGAUGACGGCCUUAGGGUUGUAAAGCUCUUUCGCUAGGGACGAUAAUGACGGUACCUAGACAAGAAGCCCCGGCUAACUUCGUGCCAGCAGCCGC